CCUACGGGAGGCAGCAGUGGGGAAUAUUGGGCAAUGGGCGCAAGCCUGACCCAGCAACGCCGCGUGAAGGAAGAAGGCUUUCGGGUUGUAAACUUCUUUUCUCAGGGACGAAGCAAGUGACGGUACCUGAGGAAUAAGCCACGGCUAACUACGUGCCCGCAGCCGCGGUAAUACGUAGGUGGCAAGCGUUAUCCGGAUUUACUGGGUGUAAAGGGCGUGUAGGCGGGAAAGCAAGUCAGAUGUGAAAACCAUGGGCUCAACCUGUGGCCUGCAUUUGAAACUGUUUUUCUUGAGUACUGGAGAGGCAGACGGAAUUCCUAGUGUAGCGGUGAAAUGCGGAGAUAUUAGGAGGAACACCAGUGGCGAAGGCGGUCUGCUGGACAGCAACUGACGCUGAGGCGCGAAAGCGUGGGGAGCAAACAGGAUUAGAUACCCCAGUAGUC
This 443-nucleotide ribosomal RNA is filed under the name uncultured bacterium. RNAcentral's name for it is "partial 16S ribosomal RNA". It matches the Rfam family "Bacterial small subunit ribosomal RNA", at positions 338 to 795 of the family's 1533-position model. The record is from RNAcentral.